RNAcentral lists this ribosomal RNA (484 nucleotides) under uncultured bacterium. RNAcentral describes it as "partial 16S ribosomal RNA". It matches the Rfam family "Bacterial small subunit ribosomal RNA", at positions 30 to 507 of the family's 1533-position model. The record is from RNAcentral.
AUUGAACGCUGGCGGCAGGCCUAACACAUGCAAGUCGAGCGGAUGAAGGGAGCUUGCUCCUGGAUUCAGCGGCGGACGGGUGAGUAAUGCCUAGGAAUCUGCCUGGUAGUGGGGGAUAACGUCCGGAAACGGGCGCUAAUACCGCAUACGUCCUGAGGGAGAAAGUGGGGGAUCUUCGGACCUCACGCUAUCAGAUGAGCCUAGGUCGGAUUAGCUAGUUGGUGGGGUAAAGACCUACCAAGGCGACGAUCCGUAACUGGUCUGAGAGGAUGAUCAGUCACACUGGAACUGAGACACGGUCCAGACUCCUACGGGAGGCAGCAGUGGGGAAUAUUGGACAAUGGGCGAAAGCCUGAUCCAACCAUGCCGCGUGUGUGAAGAAGGUCUUCGGAUUGUAAAGCACUUUAAGUUGGGAGGAAGGGCAGUAAGUUAAUACCUUGCUGUUUUGACGUUACCAACAGAAUAAGCACCGGCUAACUUCGUG